RNAcentral lists this transfer RNA (83 nucleotides) under Bacillota bacterium. RNAcentral's name for it is "tRNA-Leu". It matches the Rfam family "tRNA". Rfam says of the family: Transfer RNA (tRNA) molecules are approximately 80 nucleotides in length. Their secondary structure includes four short double-helical elements and three loops (D, anti-codon, and T loops). The record is from RNAcentral. Lineage: Bacteria; Bacillati; Bacillota. RNAcentral also lists the same sequence under 3 other names.
GCGGACAUGGUGGAAUUGGCAGACACGCUGGACUUAGGAUCCAGUGGGAAACCAUGCAGGUUCGAAUCCUGUUGUCCGCACCA